GUGGAUUAGAUACCCGGGUAGUCCACGCCCUAAACGAUGCUGACUAGUUGUUCGGGAUUUACAUCCUGAGUAACGUAGCUAACGCGUGAAGUCAGCCGCCUGGGGAGUACGGUCGCAAGAUUAAAACUCAAAGGAAUUGACGGGGACCCGCACAAGCGGUGGAUGAUGUGGAUUAAUUCGAUGCAACGCGAAAAACCUUACCUACCCUUGACAUGUCACUAACGAAGUAGAGAUACAUUAGGUGCUCGUAAGAGAAAGUGAACACAGGUGCUGCACGGCCGUCGACAACU
RNAcentral lists this ribosomal RNA (290 nucleotides) under uncultured bacterium. Its description in RNAcentral is "partial 16S ribosomal RNA". It matches the Rfam family "Bacterial small subunit ribosomal RNA", at positions 773 to 1060 of the family's 1533-position model. The record is from RNAcentral.